CAUUCCUACGGGACGCAGCAGUGGGGGAUAUUGCACAAUGGGGGGAACCCUGAUGCAGCGACGCCGCGUGGGUGAAGAAGCGCCUCGGCGCGUAAAGCCCUGUCAGCAGGGAAGAAAAUGACGGUACCUGAAGAAGAAGCCCCGGCUAACUACGUGCCAGCAGCCGCGGUAAUACGUAGGGAGCAAGCGUUAUCCGGAUUUAUUGGGUGUAAAGGGUGCGUAGACGGGAAAUUAAGUUAGUUGUGAAAUCCCUCGGCUUAACUGAGGAACUGCAACUAAAACUGAUUUUCUUGAGUGUUGGAGAG
RNAcentral lists this ribosomal RNA (305 nucleotides) under uncultured bacterium. RNAcentral describes it as "bacterial SSU rRNA". It matches the Rfam family "Bacterial small subunit ribosomal RNA", at positions 334 to 656 of the family's 1533-position model. The record is from RNAcentral.